CCUACGGGGCGCAGCAGUGGGGAAUAUUGGACAAUGGGCGAAAGCCUGAUCCAGCCAUGCCGCGUGUGUGAAGAAGGCCUUCGGGUUGUAAAGCACUUUCAGUGGGGAAGAAAGCCUUGGGGCUAAUACCCUCGAGGAAGGACAUCACCCACAGAAGAAGCACCGGCUAACUCCGUGCCAGCAGCCGCGGUAAUACGGAGGGUGCGAGCGUUAAUCGGAAUUACUGGGCGUAAAGCGCGCGUAGGCGGUCUGAUAAGCCGGUUGUGAAAGCCCCGGGCUCAACCUGGGAACGGCAUCCGGAACUGUCAGGCUAGAGUGCAGGAGAGGAAGGUAGAAUUCCCGGUGUAGUGGUGAAAUGCGUAGAGAUCGGGAGGAAUACCAGUGGCGAAGGCGGCCUUCUGGACUGACACUGACGCUGAGGUGCGAAAGCGUGGGUAGCAAACAGGAUUAGAUACCCGGGUAGUC
RNAcentral lists this ribosomal RNA (465 nucleotides) under Vreelandella stevensii. RNAcentral describes it as "partial 16S ribosomal RNA". It matches the Rfam family "Bacterial small subunit ribosomal RNA", at positions 338 to 795 of the family's 1533-position model. Lineage: Bacteria; Pseudomonadati; Pseudomonadota; Gammaproteobacteria; Oceanospirillales; Halomonadaceae. The record is from RNAcentral.